This is an RNA transcript of Papaver somniferum (opium poppy), 5701 nucleotides long. It is a transcript of the gene named ENHANCER OF AG-4 protein 2-like, with no coding region annotated. The transcript has 13 exons. The record is from RefSeq and is a predicted model, not a curated record. NCBI's taxonomy places the organism in Eukaryota, Viridiplantae, Streptophyta, Magnoliopsida, Ranunculales, Papaveraceae.
UUUCAGAACCCAAAUUCCUCUUUUCUUUUCUGAAAACCCCCUAAAAAAAAGAAAAAACAUUUUCCUCAUAAUUUUCUUUUCCGCUUCUUCGUAUUCUCGUAAACUCUUUUUCAAUCGAAAUGCAGAAGAAAAACCCUAAUUCUUCAUUGCUUACUGAUCAUCUUCGUUGGAUUUCUCCGCAUUAGACGACGACACAGAUAUUGCCCCAUCAACUUCAUCUUAUCCCUCUUUCAUAAAUCUCAGAAGAUUGUCGUUUUGGUGAUUUUGUUUUUGGUAUAUUGAUUUGUCAGAUUUCUAGGGUUUUGUUGUUUGUGAAGAAAUACUUGUAGGAAGUUGAGGAUUUUUAUUAGGGUUGUAUCGCCAUGGCUCCGGGGCGUAAAAGAGGAGCAAACAGAAACAAAGCGAAGAAUCAGUUAAGUUUAGGGGAUCUGGUUCUUGCUAAGGUUAAAGGUUUUCCUGCAUGGCCAGCAAAGAUAAGCCGACCUGAAGACUGGGAGCGUGGUCCAGAUCCUAGAAAAUACUUCGUUCAAUUCUUUGGAACUGCUGAAAUUGCAUUUGUAGCCCCUGCUGAUAUACAAGCCUUUACUAAUGAGACUAAGAAUAAAUUAUCAGCACGAUGCCAAAGUAAGACAGUUAAAGGUAAGGCCAUUAGUGAUUUUUCCCGUGCUGUAAACGAGAUCUGCAAAGCUUUUGAAGAUCUUCAGCAAAAGAAUUCAGAUGAAUGUAAAGGGGAAGAGGUUCCCUUGGUUGAGGGUGGGGAAGUUGACUUGAACGACCAGGUUGAGGUGGUUGAGCACAAGGAAGGUGUUUGUAAAGAGGACUUGGGCGAUGAAGUAUCUGUUUCUGAGGAAUAUCCACAUGAGGAGGGUGAGAGUGUCAGCAAGGAUGUAAAGCCUAUUGUUUCUUGUAAUGCAAAACAAGUCUCUCCAACUAUAUCUGGUAAGGGAAACAAUGCAUCUAAUGACGGGACACAUUUGCAGAAGCACGAUGCACACAAGACAGAUAAUGCUUCCCCAGUAGAAGAAGAAUCUGGUUGUAGAGGUGAGGAUGGUAAGGCGACUGGUGAUUCUCAACUCAAGAAGGUAGAGAGCAUUUCAGGAAAAUCGGAAGCCGGUAGUGACCAUGCUUCUCCUUCUGAUGCUGAUCCUUCUACUAGCUUGGAUGAUGAUAGUUCUCCUACUUUAGCUGUGGCAAUUGGAGCAAAGCGUGGCAGUACUGGACAGAAGGCAGUCACAAACGGUGACAGGAACAAGAAAGUGGUAGCUGUUCCAGGAAAGAAAGGACAGGGUAUGGUUGAACUCCAGAAUAAGAAGCAUUCAGCAGUUUCGUCUUCGGAAAAUGAUAACCUAAAUGGUGAUGUUGACGUAACUGAAUCUGGAGAACAUCUUAAAGAUGGAGGGAAAAGAAAAACUGCCCCAUGCAGUAGCAUGAAGGGAAAAUCUCCCAGCUCCGUGAAAUAUGAUCCAGAUAUCAGUAGUAGUCGGAAGAAAGACAAAAGCCUCAUAAAAGCUAAAAAGCAUGACAUGCCAGCUCGUAAAACGUCUGGUUCUCGUGAUGUUGACAAUGAAAAUAUAGUCAAGUCUAAGAAAGAGGGCAAAGAUGGACCUUUGUCUUCUGGAGAUCGCAGGGAAAAGAAUGCAAAGCCUAGAGAUAGAAAGCAUAGGUUGGAUACUGCUGAGGAUUUGCAUCCUGCCAAAAGACCAAAAAGCACCGAAGUAAACACUACCCCUGGUGCUAAAAAAUCCGUUGUGGAAAGAAGAAAGAAAGAUUCGUCGGGUGUCGUUGGCAACAAAGGAAUUCCACAGCAUACAGAUGUUAAAAAACCCUCAUCAGGUAAGAAAGCUGAAGAGCGUUCAAAAUCAAGAACUGAGAUGCGUAAUGUUGGAUCUACCUUGCCAAGCGAUGAGGAUGUUCUUCCUCUAUCAAAGCGACGCCGUCGGGCAGUAGAGGUUAUGUCUGACUGUGCUAAGCAAGCUGGUUUGGGUAAGAAGGAAAUGUCGAGAACCAAUAAUGUUAGGUCUCCUACCGUUCAAGUUCAUUCUAAACGGAGAGCACUUCUAACGUUGGAUGAUGAUGAAGACGAAGAUGAAAAAGUAUAUAAGAUUAAGAAGCCAACUCAUGUUGAAUCUACCAAACAAGUUGCUGGAGUUAAAGUUGAAAGUUCUGAUUUAGCCAGACCGACCAAUUUGUCUGAGGAUGGUAUAUUGCCUAUCAAGCCGUCAAAUGAGACUUCAUCACCAAGUCCAAGUGAAACUGAAGAGAAGAAGCUGAAAAAAGCCAAGGCUCUGCAUGUUACCCCUAGUCCUGGAAAAUUAGGAACUCAGAAAUCAGUUGUGAAGGAGGAGAGUAGCUGUCCUACUACCCCUAAAACCUCCUUAGGGUCUGUUGCCGAAGCUAAGGAACUAGAGCUUAGACCCAUCAAACCUCAAGUCAGACCAUGUGGAUCGUCCCAGGCAGGGUCAAAUAAAGGCUCAGCUCAGGCUUCUUAUAGUUUAAAGCGUUCUUCCAAUCAAGUGGUGUCCCAGAAACACAGGCCUACAUCUUCAUCUGAAACUUCAAGGAUUACCUCCAGCGUGCGAGUGAAAGUGGAAAGCACCACAGAUACUGAUGCUUUUCUUGAGAGAUUGGAAGCUGCAAAAGAGGAUAAAACAGCCAUUACAAUGUUAGAUUCCAAAUUUGAAGAUUCUGUUACGUCGAUGAAAAAUCUUAUUGCUGCAGCUCAAGCAAAAAGGAAACAGGCUCACUUGCAAUCCUUCUCACAUGAUAAUCUUCUUCCCUCUUUCAUAUCCUCCGGUUCUUUGCUUCAGGGGAGAAGCCCUGGUCCUGGUUUGGCAGUAGGCUCUAGCAUAAUAGUACAAACUGACGCAAAUGGAUAUUAUUCUCACUCAGCUAUAGGCUCUCCUCAUUCCCGUCCAUUCACAUCACAACAUCAACUGGCUCCUGAAGACGUGGAAGAGGGUGGAGUUAGUUCAGGAAACCGGGCACCUGUGGAGUCGUUAAGUGGUUGUACUGAGGUUGCUGUUGCUCGAGAUGCUUUCGAAGGAAUGAUUGAGACCUUGUCGAGGACAAAGGACAGUAUUGGACGUGCUACUCGCCAUGCCAUUGACUGCGCGAAGCAUGGAAUCGCUAGUGAGAUCGUGGAAAUUCUUAUUCAAAAGCUGGAGAACGAACCCAGUUUUCAUCGCAGAGUUGAUCUGUUUUUUCUGGUGGACUCUAUUACACAAAUUUCACAUAAUCAGAAAGGUAUUGCGGGCUCGUCUUAUAUUCCUUCAGUACAAGCAGCAUUGCCACGUCUACUAGGUGCUGCUGUUCCAGCUGGAGCUAAGGAGAAUCGCCGUCACUGUGUUAAGGUAUUGCGCUUAUGGCUUGAGCGAAAGAUCUUGCCUGAAUCUGUUCUUCGACGUUACAUGGAGGAUUUUGGAUUUCCUAAUGAUGACAUGAUAACUGGAAUUUCUCAUAGACGGCCGUCUCGAACAGAGCGUGCUAUAGAUGAUCCAAUUAGAGAAAUGGAGGGGAUGCUUGUUGAUGAGUAUGGGAGCAAUGCAACAUUUGAGUUGCCUGGGUUUCUAUCGUCUAGUGUAUUCGAGGAUGAAGACGAGUUUCCUAGCAGUAUGCUUAAAGAGUUGGGAGAUAAAAUAUCCUUGGAUGUUGCUGGGGUCACAGAAGGGCUAGAACAAGGUGCGGUUACUCCAAACGAUAGGCGGCAUCUCAUUUUGAAGGAUGUUGAUGGUGAGCUUGAAAUGGAAGAUGUUUCUGGUUCUCCUAAGAAUGAGAGAAAUACGGCUCGGAAUGGUUCGUCCAAUUUAGAAUCUAGACAGCUGAAUUCGGAUUGUACGUUGAAAGUAACAACAGAUUCUCCAAAUGAGAUUCCCCCGCUGCCAUUUGGCUCUCCACCGUUGCCUUUGGAUUCUCCACCGCCUCCACCGCCAUUACCACCUUCAUCACCGCCACCACCUCCUCCACCACCCUCACCUCCACCACAUCAUCUGUCAUCACAGCCACCUCUACCUUUCCAACCAGUUCCAGUUCCACCACAAACAUUACUGCCUCCACAAUCACUGCCGCCUCAACCUUCAUUUACAUAUCCACCUUCAGUUCCACCUCAAUCCACGAUGCCCCCUCCCCAACCAUCAAUGCCACCUCAACCAUCGUUCCCACCUCCACAUUCUUUGUCAUCUUGCUCACCACCAGUACCUUAUCAUCCUCCUCCACCUCAAGAAAAUUGGAGGCCUCCCAGUGGGAAUCAUGUUCAUCAAACGGCUGGAAUUACUCCUCACCCUGGCAAUGUUAGGAAUGUUGUAAGAAAUGAAAUGUUUCCCCAGCAGUCAUCAAACACUGUGCAACCUGGGUCAUGCCGUCCGCACGAUGAUUCUGGAUUCAGUUCAUCAAGGCCUUUUGAAUAUGGGCACAAUGACAUGUAUCCAGUUUCUCAAGCUUCCCAACCCAACCAACAAUUUCGUCCCCCUUCUACUCCGUACCCUCAUCGACCUUAUCCUCCUAUUCCCCCUGCACAAACACCACCCAAUCAUUUCUCGUACCCACAGCCCUCCGGUCAGCACCAAGAGCAGCAUAUUUAUCCCCGUCCAUACCCUUUGCCCCCUCUUCCCAAUGGUCAAAGACCGUAUGGUAUGGAUGAACAAAGAAGGAUACCUUCAGGUGAUUUUAAUACAGACAAUCAGCAUGGUAUGUGGGUAGGUGGAGGGAGGAAUCCCACAUGUCCUGGACCGCCUUUUGUACCUGAAGGGUAUUUUCGGCCACCGAUUGAUACACCACCUAAUAAUAUGGGGUACCAACAUCCUAUCCAUAAUCCUCGACCAUUUGGAGCUCCAAUGCCAGGUCAUGGUGCUACGCAGAUGCUUCCAUGUAGGCCAAACAUUUCCACCCAUAAUUCUUGGAGAUCAUCAUAAGAUUAAGGUGUACUACCCUUGUUUCAUAAUCCCAUUAUGUGGUUGUAGUUGUACCCAUUGAAGUGGGAAAUUCGUGUGCCACCGAAUGGCAGAAAGGGUCUUGGCAUCUGAGUGAGAAUGGCCAGCAAACACUAAAGAAAACAGUGUUACAUCUGGAGGAGGUGCUCGGGAGGAAUGUGUAUAUUGUAUUUUUUUUUCCUGACCGACAAACUGCUGCUACAGAUCGUCAUGGCAUCAGAAUACUGGUUGGUGAAAAAUCAUGUGUUCUCUUUGUUGCUAAUGGUGUGGUUGUGCAAAGCUUCUGCUGUGUGAACUGCUGGAAAUGCAAGAGGCCAAAUCUUUGGUUCUGGUGGUUAGUGUUACUAAGAAAAUCCACGCAGCUUGGAAGUUAUGAAAGAGUGGUUCCUAGCACUAUCUAACCCAUUUUAACAAAGAAGACUUCCCAGUUCUGGUCACAUGCAGAAUUAACUUCUCCAGAUGCCUGAGGUAAUCCUUAUAAUUUUUGGGUCCUUUAGGAUAGUAAACUUCUAACUUGCUUACUUAUUCCAGAUUUACUUUUAAGAUAAGCUUUCAAUACUGGUCUUAGGGUUAUACCAGCUGUGUCAUUUUUGUUUCUCAUAUACAACUUGUUCAUAGAUGAGAUAGUCUUCAAUUAUUCCGUUUAUCUUUUCCUGCUCGUAUAUGUUGUUAUCUAUAGCCUGAGGGAGAAUAAUGUUCAGUUUAGUUGGUAUUUUUCUGACUCUUGUUCGUGUUCAAUUUCGUACUGUUCUUAAUAUAUCGAUUCAGGACAUCUU